This 324-nucleotide unclassified non-coding RNA is filed under the name Hevea brasiliensis (rubber tree). The record is from RNAcentral. Lineage: Eukaryota; Viridiplantae; Streptophyta; Magnoliopsida; Malpighiales; Euphorbiaceae.
AUCCGGUUGCGUGAAGCCGGAAAAUAAAAACUGUCAUCAUCUCUGUCGGGGAUGCUGACAUAUAUAGGAAGCCGAAACGCAAAUUGCGAUGCUUCGUUCCUCGCGNNNNNNNNNNNNCGAUCGCCGCAGCGCACAUUUGUUUGAUUGCUGAUUAGAACGAGUCGAAUGUAGUGUUCGCCUUCGAAUUUACGAAGGAGACCCGCGAUGGCGGCAUUCGUACUCAAGAUCAACGGCGGCGAACAUCGUGUGGAUGUCGACCCGCAAACACCUCUUCUCUGGGCCAUCCGCGACGGCGCGGGACUGAUGGGCACCAAGUAUGGCUGC